Molecule: non-coding RNA, 620 nt
Filed under: Pan troglodytes (chimpanzee)
Lineage: Eukaryota; Metazoa; Chordata; Mammalia; Primates; Hominidae
Source: RNAcentral
ACUUGGAGGACUUGUUCCAGCCAGCGCGAGUGCGUGAGUUAAGGAGAGACGGGAAGGACCGGCUCCAUCCAGCCCUGAGGAUCCCGAAGAAAGGGUGGAAACACCCUGGAUGUGCUAAGCUGUGGCCGGGUACACUCAAGUGUUAAUUUUUUGGAGUCAAAGCCUCCCUCAGUCAAAUCGAAGAAACUGAAGCACUUGGUGACUGACCCAGAUCUUCACGGAGGAAAGGGGAUUCGAACCCGGCUGACCCAGGAGCCUGGGCUCUAUACUCAGUGCAGCAUUCUCACAGACACCCAAGAUAACGUUAUCCUCACGGAAACGAGCUCGACGAAGUGACCUACCCCAGAGCCUCAAGGCUGUGGUGAUGCUGGCAUGAGAAACAACAGGAGAGUUACGAAGAGAUAAGAGGAUGCUGUGCCUCCCUGGGGGUCUUCAGUCACCCAUGGUCCUGGCAAGAGGAGGGCCAGGAGAGAGCUUCACCCACCUGCUGUCCUGCCCAUGUGACAUCCGCAGGUGCUGCCAUGGCCACGACUGUUGUUACACUCGAGCUGAGGAGGCCGGCUGCAGCCCCAAGACAGAGCGCUACUCCUGGCAGUGCGUCAAUCAGAGCGUCCUGUGCG